UACGUAGGUCCCGAGCGUUAUCCGGAUUUAUUGGGCGUAAAGCGAGCGCAGGUGGUUUAAUAAGUCUGAUGUAAAAGGCAGUGGCUCAACCAUUGUGUGCAUUGGAAACUGUUAGACUUGAGUGCAGUAGAGGAGAGUGGAAUUCCAUGUGUAGCGGUGAAAUGCGUAGAUAUAUGGAGGAACACCGGUGGCGAAAGCGGCUCUCUGGACUGUAACUGACACUGAGGCUCGAAAGCGUGGGUAGCAAACAGG
RNAcentral lists this ribosomal RNA (252 nucleotides) under uncultured microorganism. RNAcentral describes it as "partial 16S ribosomal RNA". It matches the Rfam family "Bacterial small subunit ribosomal RNA", at positions 524 to 776 of the family's 1533-position model. The record is from RNAcentral.